RNAcentral lists this ribosomal RNA (495 nucleotides) under uncultured bacterium. RNAcentral describes it as "partial 16S ribosomal RNA". It matches the Rfam family "Bacterial small subunit ribosomal RNA", at positions 30 to 507 of the family's 1533-position model. The record is from RNAcentral.
UGAACGCUGGCGGCGUGCCUAAUACAUGCAAGUCGAGCGAACAGACGAUGAGCUUGCUCCUCUGACGUUAGCGGCGGACGGGUGAGUAACACGUGGAUAACCUACCUAUAAGACUGGGAUAACUUCGGGAAACCGGAGCUAAUACCGGAUAAUAUAUUGAACCGCAUGGUUCAAUAGUGAAAGACGGUUUUGCUGUCACUUAUAGAUGGAUCCGCGCCGCAUUAGCUAGUUGGUAAGGUAACGGCUUACCAAGGCAACGAUGCGUAGCCGACCUGAGAGGGUGAUCGGCCACACUGGAACUGAGACACGGUCCAGACUCCUACGGGAGGCAGCAGUAGGGAAUCUUCCGCAAUGGGCGAAAGCCUGACGGAGCAACGCCGCGUGAGUGAUGAAGGUCUUCGGAUCGUAAAACUCUGUUAUUAGGGAAGAACAAAUGUGUAAGUAACUAUGCACGUCUUGACGGUACCUAAUCAGAAAGCCACGGCUAACUACGUG